This 810-nucleotide ribosomal RNA is filed under the name uncultured bacterium. Its description in RNAcentral is "bacterial SSU rRNA". It matches the Rfam family "Bacterial small subunit ribosomal RNA", at positions 8 to 796 of the family's 1533-position model. The record is from RNAcentral.
AGAGUUUGAUCAUGGCUCAGAAUCAACGCUGGCGGCGUGCCUAACACAUGCAAGUCGAACGCGAAAGCCCCGCAAGGGGCAAGUAGAGUGGCAAACGGGUGAGUAACACGUGGGUGACCUGCCUUCGAGCGGGGGAUAACGUCCCGAAAGGGACGCUAAUACCGCAUGACAUCCUGCCUUUGAAGAGGCGGAGAUCAAAGCUGGGGAUCGCAAGACCUAGCACUCGAAGAGGGGCCCGCGCCUGAUUAGCUAGUUGGUGGGGUAAUGGCUCACCAAGGCGACGAUCAGUAGCCGGCCUGAGAGGGCGGACGGCCACACUGGGACUGAGACACGGCCCAGACUCCUACGGGAGGCAGCAGUGGGGAAUUGUUCGCAAUGGGCGCAAGCCUGACGACGCAACGCCGCGUGGAGGACGAAGACCUUCGGGUCGUAAACUCCUUUCGAUCGAGACGAAUGGCCUUCGGGUGAAUAGCCCGGAGGAGUGACGGUACCGAGAGAAGAAGCCCCGGCUAACUCCGUGCCAGCAGCCGCGGUAAUACGGGGGGGGGCAAGCGUUGUUCGGAAUUACUGGGCGUAAAGGGCUCGUAGGUGGCCAACUAAGUCAGACGUGAAAUCCCUCGGCUUAACCGGGGAACUGCGUCUGAUACUGGAUGGCUUGAGUUUGGGAGAGGGAUGCGGAAUUCCAGGUGUAGCGGUGAAAUGCGUAGAUAUCUGGAGGAACACCGGUGGCGAAGGCGGCAUCCUGGACCAACACUGACACUGAGGAGCGAAAGCCAGGGGAGCAAACGGGAUUAGAUACCCUAGUAGUCC